Molecule: ribosomal RNA, 274 nt
Filed under: uncultured bacterium
Lineage: Bacteria
Description: partial 16S ribosomal RNA
Rfam family: Bacterial small subunit ribosomal RNA
Source: RNAcentral
AUACGGAGGGUGCAAGCGUUACUCGGAAUCACUGGGCGUAAAGCGCGCGCAGGCGGUCUUUUAAGUUGGAUGUGAAAGCCUACGGCUCAACCGUAGAACUGCAUCCAAAACUAUUAGACUAGAGUGUGGGAGAGGAAGAUGGAAUUAGUUGUGUAGGGGUAAAAUCCGUAGGGGUAACUAGGAAUACCAAAAGCGAAGGCAAUCUUCUGGAACACUACUGACGCUGAGGUGCGAAAGCGUGGGUAGCAAACGGGAUUAGAAACCCUAGUAGUCC